UACGUAGGGUGCAAGCGUUGUCCGGAAUUAUUGGGCGUAAAGAGCUCGUAGGCGGUUUGUUGCGUCGGCUGUGAAAUCCCGAGGCUCAACCUCGGGUCUGCAGUCGAUACGAGCAAACUAGAGUGUUGCAGGGGAGACUGGAAUUCCUGGUGUAGCGGUGAAAUGCGCAGAUAUCAGGAGGAACACCGGUGGCGAAGGCGGGUCUCUGGGCCGGUAACUG
Molecule: ribosomal RNA, 220 nt
Filed under: uncultured bacterium
Lineage: Bacteria
Description: partial 16S ribosomal RNA
Rfam family: Bacterial small subunit ribosomal RNA
Source: RNAcentral